ACUCCUACGGGAGGCAGCAGUGAGGAAUAUUGGUCAAUGGUCGCAAGACUGAACCAGCCAUGCCGCGUGCAGGAAGACGGUCCUAUGGAUUGUAAACUGCUUUUUAUACAGGAAGAAACCCUCCCACGUGUGGGAGCUUGACGGUACUGUAGGAAUAAGGAUCGGCUAACUCCGUGCCAGCAGCCGCGGUAAUACGGAGGAUCCAAGCGUUAUCCGGAAUCAUUGGGUUUAAAGGGUCCGUAGGCGGCCUUAUAAGUCAGUGGUGAAAGCCCAUCGCUCAACGAUGGAACUGCCAUUGAUACUGUAAGGGCUUGAAUUAUUGUGAAGUAACUAGAAUAUGUAGUGUAGCGGUGAAAUGCUUAGAUAUUACAUGGAAUACCAAUUGCGAAGGCAGGUUACUAACAAUGGAUUGACGCUGAUGGACGAAAGCGUGGGAGCGAACAGGAUUAGAUACCCCUGGUAGGAUAGCG
RNAcentral lists this ribosomal RNA (470 nucleotides) under uncultured bacterium. Its description in RNAcentral is "bacterial SSU rRNA". It matches the Rfam family "Bacterial small subunit ribosomal RNA", at positions 335 to 799 of the family's 1533-position model. The record is from RNAcentral.